GCCGCUGUGGCGGAACUGGUAGACGCGCACGACUCAAAAUCGUGUGGCCUAUGGUCAUGUCGGUUCGACUCCGACCAGCGGCA
Molecule: transfer RNA, 83 nt
Filed under: Patescibacteria group bacterium
Lineage: Bacteria
Description: tRNA-Leu
Rfam family: tRNA
About the family: Transfer RNA (tRNA) molecules are approximately 80 nucleotides in length.
Source: RNAcentral